Molecule: ribosomal RNA, 20 nt
Filed under: Collybia tuberosa
Lineage: Eukaryota; Fungi; Basidiomycota; Agaricomycetes; Agaricales; Clitocybaceae
Also listed under: 1 other name
Description: partial 18S ribosomal RNA
Source: RNAcentral
AACAUGAGGAAGGAUCAUUA